AUUGAACGCUGGCGGCAGGCCUAACACAUGCAAGUCGAGCGGAUGAAGGGAGCUUGCUCCUGGAUUCAGCGGCGGACGGGUGAGUAAUGCCUAGGAAUCUGCCUGGUAGUGGGGGAUAACGUCCGGAAACGGGCGCUAAUACCGCAUACGUCCUGAGGGAGAAAGUGGGGGAUCUUCGGACCUCACGCUAUCAGAUGAGCCUAGGUCGGAUUAGCUAGUUGGUGGGGUAAAGGCCUACCAAGGCGACGAUCCGUAACUGGUCUGAGAGGAUGAUCAGUCACACUGGAACUGAGGCACGGUCCAGACUCCUACGGGAGGCAGCAGUGGGGAAUAUUGGACAAUGGGCGGAAGCCUGAUCCAGCCAUGCCGCGUGUGUGAAGAAGGUCUUCGGAUUGUAAAGCACUUUAAGUGGGGAGGAAGGGCAGUAAGUUAAUACCUUGCUGUUUUGACGUUACCAACAGAAUAAGCACCGGCUAACUUCGUG
This 484-nucleotide ribosomal RNA is filed under the name uncultured bacterium. RNAcentral's name for it is "partial 16S ribosomal RNA". It matches the Rfam family "Bacterial small subunit ribosomal RNA", at positions 30 to 507 of the family's 1533-position model. The record is from RNAcentral.